RNAcentral lists this ribosomal RNA (547 nucleotides) under uncultured bacterium. Its description in RNAcentral is "bacterial SSU rRNA". It matches the Rfam family "Bacterial small subunit ribosomal RNA", at positions 355 to 896 of the family's 1533-position model. The record is from RNAcentral.
UGGGGAAUAUUGCGCAAUGGGGGGAACCCUGACGCAGCCAUGCCGCGUGAAUGAAGAAGGCCUUAGGGUUGUAAAGUUCUUUCGGUAUUGAGGAAGGUUGACGUGUUAAUAGCACAUCAAAUUGACGUUAAAUACAGAAGAAGCACCGGCUAACUCCGUGCCAGCAGCCGCGGUAAUACGGAGGGUGCGAGCGUUAAUCGGAAUAACUGGGCGUAAAGGGCACGCAGGCGGUUAUUUAAGUGAGGUGUGAAAGCCCUGGGCUUAACCUGGGAAUUGCAUUUCAGACUGGGUAACUAGAGUACUUUAGGGAGGGGUAGAAUUCCACGUGUAGCGGUGAAAUGCGUAGAGAUGUGGAGGAAUACCGAAGGCGAAGGCAGCCCCUUGGGAAUGUACUGACGCUCAUGUGCGAAAGCGUGGGGAGCAAACAGGAUUAGAUACCCUGGUAGUCCACGCUGUAAACGCUGUCGAUUUGGGGGUUGGGGUUUAACUCUGGCGCCCGUAGCUAACGUGAUAAAUCGACCGCCUGGGGAGUACGGCCGCAAGGUUA